UCUCCUGCCUCAGCCUCCUGAGUAGCUGAGAUUACAGGCACAUGCCACUGCCCCAGGCUGGAGACCUCUUGAUAGAGGAAAUCUGAAAGACAGAAUAAAGAAAAGCAAAUAAAUAAAUAAAUAAAAGCUUGUGACUGGUGAUUACCCUGAAUAUCAUGGGGACAAAAAGUUUCUUAUAGAUGUAGUUUUUAAAAAUCUACAUAUUAACUGAA
Sapajus apella (tufted capuchin) is the source of this 212-nucleotide long non-coding RNA. RefSeq lists it as uncharacterized. NCBI's taxonomy places the organism in Eukaryota, Metazoa, Chordata, Mammalia, Primates, Cebidae. The transcript has 2 exons. The record is from RefSeq and is a predicted model, not a curated record.